UAGAUAAUUUACGUCUUUGCCCCUGUUUGGUUGACGGUAGCCUGUCAUCUAUCCGUUUAUAAACAGUAGUUUUCUCCAAAUUUCGUUUCCAACUUUGUCCCUCUACAUUUAUGGUUUUUGCGUUUUGUCUUUGUUAUUGGUUUUGUUUUAUUCAAAAAUUUAUGUUUUUGUCCUAUUUUUCUCGUUUUCCAUUUUUAUCCCUCUCACUUGCGUUAUUUUGUUCAAUUUCAAACUACACGCAACAUAAACCCUCUCUCUUUUCUCUUCUAUGCCUUGUGUCCCUUGUCGCUAUUAGUAGCCAUGAAGCAGGCCAGAAAACAGCCCUCCUUCAAGCAACAGCAGCUCUCUCUCAAUCUCUCAUACGUUUCCCACUCGUAGCCACGGUGCACUUGCCGUAAGGAAGACCUAUCGAGCUACCAACCAUCGUCUUGAGCAUAUCUAGCCUCCGGUUCUGCCUCGGACCACCACAAACAGUGCGAACGUCACCCACACAGCAAGAUCCACCAUGAGAUCUAGCCCGCAACGCCAUUCUCUCUACUCCUCUAUUUCUCCCUUCUUCUCUCCUAUGCAAAAAUGGCCAAAAUGCAAACCGCACCAUGAGAUCAGUGUUUUAAGUCUUUGACAAAUGCAACCCAUUGAUCAAGUAACGAAUGCAUCACUUGAUUUCGGUUCUUCCGAAGAAGCUGAAGAUUCCAAUCAGGUUGAAAUGCAAGGGUAAAAAGGAUCAAAGUUAACAAGAUGAAAAACAUAGAGAAACUUUAGGACCCAACUUCUCUUGCACCCUCUCUAGAACAAACCACAGGUAAAUUCUCUCAUUUAUUUGAUUAGUUCUUUGGCCAUAGAAGUUUGUGAGAAAUGCAUUUUAACAUCCCCCCAGCCAAAUAUUGGGAAAGACAGCAUCAGACCAACUUAUCAUAAGGUUAUUUGCUACCUUUUGUCAUACCAAUCUGAUUUCUGGUUGCAUAACUUCAUAAUUAUACUGUAUAGAUUCCUACAUAUUUCUUUUCUUAUUCAUUUUUGUUUGUAUUUGAUUUGGAUGAUAUUUCUUAUCAUGUUAUGUAUUCGGUUUCAUCUAGAUAUAUGUUACCAUGCUACUUGUCGAAUAUUAUCAUGAUGUUUGCAAUUUGGUUGUACCAUGGAAAUAUUUUGUAAUGCUACAUCUAGUGUUCGGAUCUACAUGUUUAUGUUGCUAUGUUGGUUAAUGAUGCAUUACCGAAUAUGUUAGAAGUUCCAAGUUCAUAUUAUUGUUGAAUAACCAUGUAUACAAUCACUUUUAUGUUUCAGCCAUGCAUAGCAUUUGAUGAUGUGAAAUUGUUUUAAUCUUAUUUCAAUGUGGAAUGUCAUUGGUCGUAUGAAUAAGUGAAAGUAAUCGCAUGGUCUAAUAUUUUCAAGCCGUAACGCAGGAUAUGCAUUGUUGUAUACGAUCGCAUGUUAUAUGAUUUACAAGAGUCUCAACAUACAUGAUUGCAUGAUGCAUGAAAAGAGCAAAGUAUCAGAAGUCCAUACCACAUGCAUUGGAUUUGUGCAUUUCUUUUAAAAGAAAAGAGUCAAUGAAUUUUUUAUCACGACCCCAAAUGCUAGGACGGGAGAAUGUCCUAGUGGAACUCAUCUGUCCACUCAAAAGUGUUUAAAAUAGCGUAGUAGUCCCUAGGUCAACAAAGUAUAGUCGACGGACCUUGGAUGAAUCCUAAAGGAUUUUAGAGUGGGGUUGCACUUUAAGCUAGUAGGUGUCAUAUGUUGAAAGCGAAAAUGUGAACUACCGUAAUAAGUAUGUUUAAGAAUAUGAUGUAGUCACCUCGGUCAAGUGAGCCAUUGGUUGAUGUGGUAAUUAGAGGGGAAUACAAGAUGCAUAGGGGAGCCGUGAGGUAUCCAAUUAUAUGUUUAUGUUAUGAGAAUGACCAAUAACUCAAGCUCAAAUGAUAUGCUAUAUGUUUAAGAACCAAGAAUGAAAAGAUGAAAAGACAUUUUCUGAAAAAGGUCAAAUGGUUUUCUGUUACAUGUUAUUUUUGUAAAAGUCAAUGUUGCAUAAGUCAAAAUUCAUGUCUAUGCAUUCAUUAUGGUUUCUCUCAUAUGCUUAUGUUAUCUAUUGUAUUUUAUCUAUUUUCUUACUGAGGUUUCUCAAAAUUUCACUGUGGUAGUUUUCACUAGCAUUCCCCACCUGGAAUGGUAGAAGUUGUGGCAGGUACACAAGACCUCUUAGAACCAUGAAUGAGAUUAACGAGCUAGUAGAAGAUGAGUUUAUAGGAGAAGCUCGUUACAACUUUACUGUGGAUAUUUUGAAGGUUACAGCGCAACGACUUAAGGAAAUAUGUAAAACCCUUAGUGAGACCGACAAUGGGACCCUAAUUUUGGAUCCUGGAAAGGCUUCUAAAUUGAAGAGCGAUAUGGAUUUUGUAAUGGGGUAUCUCAAAGAAGCCCAAGAUUCCGAUUGAAGCAAAGGAAGUUGUUGAUAGGGGUGUAAAAAUAAAUCGGAAAACCAGCUCGGACCAGACUGAGCCGGUUGGUUCAGUCUGGUUUUCGACCAGUUCAAUCUGGAAUUUGUUCAUUUAUUUUAAAAACUGGUUAAAUC
Molecule: long non-coding RNA, 2569 nt
Organism: Carya illinoinensis
Lineage: Eukaryota; Viridiplantae; Streptophyta; Magnoliopsida; Fagales; Juglandaceae
Exons: 2
Source: RefSeq, a predicted model, not a curated record